AAGCCAUGGUGGGGAAACUUGUGUAGGAGAUCCUUGAAUCUCUCAUGUGCUUCGGAAAGUGUCUCAGAAUCCUCUUGCUGGAAUGCAGAAAUCUCUUGCCUCAAUCU
Molecule: small nucleolar RNA, 107 nt
Organism: Dioscorea cayenensis subsp. rotundata (Guinea yam)
Lineage: Eukaryota; Viridiplantae; Streptophyta; Magnoliopsida; Dioscoreales; Dioscoreaceae
Source: RefSeq, a predicted model, not a curated record